Long non-coding RNA from Salvia miltiorrhiza (redroot sage), 724 nucleotides. RefSeq lists it as uncharacterized. Lineage: Eukaryota; Viridiplantae; Streptophyta; Magnoliopsida; Lamiales; Lamiaceae. The record is from RefSeq and is a predicted model, not a curated record. The transcript is spliced from 2 exons.
UAAUAAUUUCCGUGAAUAAAUUGGAUGCCCUCAAGUCAACGUCUAUCUUAUUCCCCACCAACCACUUUUCAGUCUAUAGUUGAUACAGACACUAUAUAUUUAUAUACAAUUGAUACUCAAUUUCUCGUAACCACAUCUUCUUCUAUAUUUGGGGAUAGGGUGUGUUUGGCGAUGGAUUAAAGUGCAGGCCGUCCACUCUACAGCUGCAGAAACUGCAGGAAUUCUAUUGCCUUGCAUGUUGAUCUCGAAUCCAAAACUUUUAAGGCAAAAUCUGGGCAAGCCUAUAUGUUUAGGCAGGCAAAAAAUAUAGUGGUUGGGGCAAAGGAGGUGAGGCAACUUAUAACUGGUGAUUACACAAUUGCUCACAUUUUCUGCCGCACAUGUGGCGAAGAAUUGGGUUGGACUUAUCUCACCGCUUUUGAUGUUCGACAGAAAUACAAGGAGGGCAAAUACAUUGUCGAGAAGGCUAAGAUUCUCAAAGAAUACUAAUGAAUCCCACUCUUCUAUAUAUUAUAUUUGUGUAUGUAAUGUAUAAUGUACUUAUCAAUUAUGAAUGAUGGAACUAUUUAAAGUAUAGUACGUAUUAAAUUUCUGCAAUUGUUGUUUGAAGUUGUAUGUUCCUAGUCGUUCACGACAUAUUGUUGUAUAUCUCGUGUUUGCGUGCUUUGAUUGUAAGAUGCUAUUAUUAUGAAUUUUGAAUGAACGCUACAGUGAUUGUAAAACA